This 239-nucleotide unclassified non-coding RNA is filed under the name Dothideomycetes sp. Its description in RNAcentral is "partial contains 5.8S ribosomal RNA, internal transcribed spacer 2, and large subunit ribosomal RNA". Lineage: Eukaryota; Fungi; Ascomycota; Dothideomycetes. The record is from RNAcentral.
CGCACAUUGCGCCCCUUGGUAUUCUGGGGGGCACGCCUGUUCGAGCGUCAUUUAAAACGUCAAGCACCGCUUGGUAUUGGGCGCGGUCGACCCGACCCGUCCGCAACCCGUUGGCGGUACCGUCCAGCUUCGAGCGUAGCAAGUCUUACCCUCGCUCGGGAGCCCAGACCGGUGCCUGCCACUCGAAUCAGUACCCAAAGUUUGACCUCGGAUCAGGUAGGGUUACCCGCUGAACUUAA